Molecule: unclassified non-coding RNA, 1357 nt
Filed under: uncultured Neocallimastigales
Lineage: Eukaryota; Fungi; Neocallimastigomycota; Neocallimastigomycetes; Neocallimastigales
Description: partial contains small subunit ribosomal RNA, internal transcribed spacer 1, 5.8S ribosomal RNA, internal transcribed spacer 2, and large subunit ribosomal RNA
Rfam family: Eukaryotic large subunit ribosomal RNA (bases 607-1357)
Source: RNAcentral
UUUCCGUAGGUGAACCUGCGGAAGGAUCAUUAAAAAAUGAGACCUGAUUCAAGGUCUAUUAACAAUCCUACCCUUUGUGAAUUUGUUUUGUUUUAAUAUGUGUCUUUCCCUGGUUUUUGAUGGAGCUUGUUUUAAAGCAAAAUCAAUCCAGGGGAAUGGCAAAACUUUUUUUAAAUUAAACUUUUUGUAUUCAUUUGUCUAAAAUUAUUUUUAUAAUAUAAAAACAACUUUUGACAAUGGAUCUCUUGGUUCUCGCAACGAUGAAGAACGCAGCAAAAUGCGAUAAGUAGUGUGAAUUGCAGAAUACGUGAAUCAUCGAAUCUUCGAACGCAUAUUGCACUUUUUUAGUUUACUAAAAAGUAUGUCUGUUUGAGUAUCAGUAAAAUAUUCUCAUAAAAACUUUGUUUUUUAUGGUUAUGAGUGUUUUACAACGAUACAAGUUGUUUCACUUUAAAUUCUUUGUCUUUUAAAAAAUCAUUAAAAACUGAUUUUUUUUUUAAAAAUUGGAUAAAAUUUUCCCGUAAAAAGGAAUAACCUAAACAAUUUUAAAAUUAAAUUGGUUUGAUUUCUUUUAAGAAUCAAAGGAAGAAAAAGUAAAAAUUAACUUGAUCUCAAAUCAGAUAAGAGUACCCGCUGAACUUAAGCAUAUCAAUAAGCGGAGGAAAAGAAACUAACAAGGAUUCCCUUAGUAACGGCGAGUGAAGCGGGAAGAGCUCAAAUUUGAAAUCUUCAAGGUUUACCUUGACGAAUUGUAGUUUAAAGAAGUGUUUUCUGUUGGAGUUUUGGUAAAAGUUCUUUGGAAUAGGACAUCAUAGAGGGUGAGAAUCCCGUAUUUGACCAUUAUUUCCAACUUUGUGAUACACUUUCAAAGAGUCGGAUUGUUUGGGAAUGCAGUCCAAAAUGGGUGGUAAAUUCAUCUAAAGCUAAAUAUUGGCGAGAGUCCGAUAGCGAACAAGUACCGUGAGGGAAAGAUGAAAAGAACUUUGAAAAGAGAGUUAAACAGUACGUGAAAUUGUCAAAAGGGAGCGUUUGACACCAGUGUUGUUUUCUCGAAAAUCAAUUAAAAAGGUGGGAUUUUGUGUUGUAUUGACUUUAUCAGCUUUCUGCACUUUUUUCUAUCUUUUUUAAUGCACUUUUCGUUUAACAAGUCAACAUCAAUUUCUUUUGUUGUAAAAGAGUCAUUGGAAGGUGGCUUUCUUUUCGGAGAAAGUGUUUAUAGCCUUUGGCUUCUGCAAUCGGAGAGAUUGAGGUCUGCAGCGUAGAUCCUUCGGGUUAGAUACAUUUGUGCUAAGUUAUAGCCUUUCAUAGACAACUUGUUGACUAUGAUCAGUCAUGUAGCUUACUCGCUUAUGCAUUU